RNAcentral lists this long non-coding RNA (629 nucleotides) under Amphimedon queenslandica. RNAcentral's name for it is "uncharacterized LOC109583708, transcript variant X2". The record is from RNAcentral. Lineage: Eukaryota; Metazoa; Porifera; Demospongiae; Haplosclerida; Niphatidae.
AUAAUGUACAUGUAACUUUAAUUUUGUCAUUAUUUGACUUUGCUCUUUUUUAUUUUUUAGACUGAUACUGAAGAGAUUGUUUCUGAUGAAGUUGCUGCUACAAAAAAGAAGUCCAAGAAGAAGAAGGGAGGAGGAAGUGGUGGUGGUGGUGCUAGUGGUCCAGUCACUAAAACUACAUCUGCUGGAAAAGACUUGUCUCCAGGAAAGUUAUGGAAACUGUUAGUGGAAGAUGUACUUCAGCAUUUCCUGUACACAUUGGAAUAUAAUUCUGCAACUCACAUGUGUACUACUUGUGGUGUUAGCAGAGUCUCUCUUCUCAGGGAAUUCUGUAACAAAACAGGAGUACAGAUUACAUUGAAGGAUUACAAAUUUUCCUUGACUGCUCCAUUGAAUGAAGGUGAUCUUGCCUGUAUUGUACCUGUUGUUAAGCACACUGAUUUUAAACCUCUUGAAGCCUCUGGUUUGUAUGAGUUGGCUCAGGUUCAGUUGCAGUCUGGUAAUAUUGAAGUUGCUCUUGACUAUCUAUCUGGAGCUGUGCAAUAGUUUGCUCAAGUCUUUGGGCCACAACAUGUCAACAUAGCUAACUGUUAUAAAGUUAUUGCAUGAAUUCAUCAUGCUCUAGGUGACAG